UACGAGGGCCCCAAGCGUUAUCCGGAUUUAUUGGGCGUAAAGCGUCCGUAGGUGGUUUAUCGCAUCUCCUGUUAAAUCUCGAGGCUCAACCUCGAGUCAGCGGGAGAGAUGGAUAAGCUAGAGGCUGGAAGAGGCAAACGGAAUUGCUGGUGUAGGGGUUAAAUCCAUUAAUAUCAGCAAGAACACCAAAUGCGAAGGCAGUUUGCUAGGACAGUCCUGACACUCAGUGGACGAAAGCGUGGGGAGCGAAUGGGAUUAGAUACCCCAGUAGUCCACGCCGUAAACGUUGGAUACUAAGCAUUGGCAGUAUCGACCCUGCCAGUGUUGUUAAUAUAAGGAAACCCGUUAAGUAUCCCGCCUGGGGAGUACGAGCGCAAGCUUAAA
Molecule: ribosomal RNA, 384 nt
Filed under: uncultured bacterium
Lineage: Bacteria
Description: bacterial SSU rRNA
Rfam family: Bacterial small subunit ribosomal RNA
Source: RNAcentral